This 408-nucleotide ribosomal RNA is filed under the name uncultured bacterium. Its description in RNAcentral is "partial 16S ribosomal RNA". It matches the Rfam family "Bacterial small subunit ribosomal RNA", at positions 28 to 526 of the family's 1533-position model. The record is from RNAcentral.
GACGAACGCUGGCGGCGUGCUUAAUACAUGCAAGUCGAACGAAGUGGCGAACGGGUGAGUAACGCGUAUUCAACCUGCCCUUCAGAGGGGGACAACUGUUGGAAACGACCGCUAAUACCGCAUACUGAAGGUGGGGAUUGCGUCUGAUUAGCUAGUUGGAGGGGUAACGGCCCACCAAGGCGAUGAUGAGUAGCCGGCCUGAGAGGAGGAACGGCCACAUUGGGACUGAGACACGGCCCAGACUCCUACGGGAGGCAGCAGUGGGGAAUCUUCCGCAAUGGACGGAAGUCUGACGGAGCAACGCCGCGUGAGUGAUGACGGCCUUCGGGUUGUAAAGCUCUGUUAAUCGGGACGCGGUACCGGAAUAGAAAGCCACGGCUAACUACGUGCCAGCAGCCGCGGUAAUAC